This 486-nucleotide ribosomal RNA is filed under the name uncultured bacterium. RNAcentral's name for it is "partial 16S ribosomal RNA". It matches the Rfam family "Bacterial small subunit ribosomal RNA", at positions 28 to 507 of the family's 1533-position model. The record is from RNAcentral.
GACGAACGCUGGCGGCGUGCUUAACACAUGCAAGUCGAACGCUGAAGACCUGGCUUUUGUUGGGUUGGAUGAGUGGCGAACGGGUGAGUAACACGUGAGUAACCUGCCCUCUUCUUUGGGAUAACGCCCGGAAACGGGUGCUAAUACUGGAUAUUCACUGGCCUUCGCAUGGGGGUUGGUGGAAAGGUUUGUUCUGGUGGGGGAUGGGCUCGCGGCCUAUCAGCUUGUUGGUGGGGUGAUGGCCUACCAAGGCUUUGACGGGUAGCCGGCCUGAGAGGGUGACCGGUCACAUUGGGACUGAGAUACGGCCCAGACUCCUACGGGAGGCAGCAGUGGGGAAUAGUGCACAAUGGGCGAAAGCCGGAUGCAGCGACGCCGCGUGAGGGAGGGAGGCCUGCGGGUUGUAAACCUCUUUCGCUCAUGGUCAAGCCGCAACUGUGGGUUGUGGUGAGGGUAGUGGGUAAAGAAGCGCCGGCUAACUACGUG